GGGGACUUAGCUCAGUUGGUAGAGCACCUGAUUUGCAUUCAGGGGGUCAGGAGUUCGAAUCUCCUAGUCUCCA
Molecule: transfer RNA, 73 nt
Filed under: Gammaproteobacteria bacterium RIFCSPLOWO2_02_FULL_47_50
Lineage: Bacteria; Pseudomonadati; Pseudomonadota; Gammaproteobacteria
Also listed under: 1 other name
Description: tRNA-Ala
Rfam family: tRNA
About the family: Transfer RNA (tRNA) molecules are approximately 80 nucleotides in length.
Source: RNAcentral